This 31-nucleotide non-coding RNA is filed under the name Mus musculus (house mouse). The record is from RNAcentral. Lineage: Eukaryota; Metazoa; Chordata; Mammalia; Rodentia; Muridae.
UGAAAGUUAGUGUCUGCUAACCUUUGGAAAU